RNAcentral lists this ribosomal RNA (253 nucleotides) under uncultured bacterium. Its description in RNAcentral is "partial 16S ribosomal RNA". It matches the Rfam family "Bacterial small subunit ribosomal RNA", at positions 524 to 776 of the family's 1533-position model. The record is from RNAcentral.
UACGAAGGGGGCGAGCGUUGUUCGGAUUUACUGGGCGUAAAGGGCGCGUAGGCGGCGGGUCAAGUCGAGUGUGAAAGCCCCGGGCUCAACCUGGGAAUUGCGCUCGAGACUGGUCUGCUUGAGUUCGGGAGAGGAGAGUGGAAUUCCCAGUGUAGAGGUGAAAUUCGUAGAUAUUGGGAAGAACACCGGUGGCGAAGGCGGCUCUCUGGGACGGUACUGACGCUGAGACGCGAAAGCGUGGGGAGCGAACAGG